This 501-nucleotide ribosomal RNA is filed under the name uncultured bacterium. Its description in RNAcentral is "partial 16S ribosomal RNA". It matches the Rfam family "Bacterial small subunit ribosomal RNA", at positions 30 to 523 of the family's 1533-position model. The record is from RNAcentral.
AUUGAACGCUGGCGGCAGGCUUAACACAUGCAAGUCGAGCGGAGCGAGGGUGCUUGCACCUUAGCUUAGCGGCGGACGGGUGAGUAAUGCUUAGGAAUCUGCCUAUUAGUGGGGGACGACAUUCCGAAAGGAAUGCUAAUACCGCAUACGCCCUACGGGGGAAAGCAGGGGAGCUUCGGACCUUGCUCUAAUAGAUGAGCCUAAGUCGGAUUAGCUAGGUGGUGGGGUAAAGGCCUACCAAGGCGACGAUCUGUAGCGGGUCUGAGAGGAUGAUCGGCCACACUGGGACUGAGACACGGCCCAGAUUCCUACGGGAGGCAGCAGUGGGGAAUAUUGGACAAUGGGCGGAAGCCUGAUCCAGCCAUGCCGCGUGUGUGAAGAAGGCCUUUUGGUUGUAAAGCACUUUAAGCGAGGAGGAGGCUACUUAGAUUAAUACUCUGGGAUAGUGGACGUUACUCGCAGAAUAAGCACCGGCUAACUCUGUGCCAGCCGCCGCCGUAA